RNAcentral lists this ribosomal RNA (253 nucleotides) under uncultured bacterium. RNAcentral describes it as "partial 16S ribosomal RNA". It matches the Rfam family "Bacterial small subunit ribosomal RNA", at positions 524 to 776 of the family's 1533-position model. The record is from RNAcentral.
UACGGGGGGGGCAAGCGUUGUUCGGAAUUACUGGGCGUAAAGGGCUCGUAGGCGGCCAACUAAGUCAGACGUGAAAUCCCUCGGCUUAACCGGGGAACUGCAUCCGAUACUGGAUGGCUUGAAUUCGGGAGAGGGAUGCAGAAUUCCAGGUGUAGCGGUGAAAUGCGUAGAUAUGCGGAGGAACACCGAUGGCGAAGGCAAUCCCCUGGACCUGUACUGACGCUCAUGCACGAAAGCGUGGGGAGCAAACAGG